CGAGUCAACAGGUUCAAAACCAAUUCAGAUUCCAUGAAUAUUAAGGCUGAUGCAAAGAUAAGAUACUUAACUAUGUUCCAUUUCCACCCCAUUCCUCCUCUCGCUUUUCCCUGCUUCUCUCACCUAGUAAGUUGGAACUAAGUUUUUUCUGGCAUAAGAAAGAAAAUGUUACGUUUAACUAUUGAAGUGUAAACCUCCAGCAGGGCCAAUAAGAGUUACAUCUAAGUGGGUGACUUCAGCUAUUAGACCACUCCGUCAAUUGCAACCAAAUGAAUGAAAUCUACGCUACUUGUCCACGAGUUGCUCAUAUCAGUCUGUCUUUUUAUCUGGUUCAUCAAGUGCAACCAGUCUUUCAACUAGAGGAGGAUGUGAAUAGUGAUAUGCUGAGUACCAAGGAU
This 398-nucleotide unclassified non-coding RNA is filed under the name Hevea brasiliensis (rubber tree). Lineage: Eukaryota; Viridiplantae; Streptophyta; Magnoliopsida; Malpighiales; Euphorbiaceae. The record is from RNAcentral.